GCAGGACGUCCUCUAAAGCAACUUCCGUGGGUGCCAGGUUGUGGGCUGGGGGCGGUGCUGACCUUGAGAGAGCGGAGGAGGCGCAGGCGCAGCACAGUUUAAACUUGAUUUUGUGAGGGGACGAACAGCGUGACAAUUAAAAGAAGAUCUGGGAAUCAAAAGCUUCCUGAGGCCUUCACCAGAAGCAGAUGCUGGUGCCGUGCUUCUACAGCCUGCAGAACUGAAGGACUUUACAGCUUCUCUUUCGCAUAUCCAAAUUGCCAGCAUCACCGCUCUUGCACUCCAAGCCAUUAUUAAGUAAAGUAAAGAACACAAACACUGUGAUACUGCUACACUUGAUCUGAUAACCAAGAAGUCUACUAAGUGACUAACAGCAGAGCAACUGGGAACCUAAUUCUGACCAAAAAGGAGGAAUUGUUUGGCUAAUUGGAAGUGACAGAAACCUUGGGAGAAAGCAACCGCAUACCAAGGAUAAUUAUAAGAAGAAGAGAAGACAUGGAGAAGAGGAGGGAGUAGUUGUGACCGUGGAGGCAGAGAAUGGAGUAAUGUGAUCAUAAAUCAAGGAAUGCUGACAGCCACUAAAGCUGGAGAAGGCCAAGGACAGAUAUUCAAUCCUCCCGUAGAAGUACAGCCCUGCUAAUGCAUUGAUUUUGGACUUCUGGCCUCAGAACUAUCCAAUGUGAUAAUUUAUGUGAAAUCUUUCUGCAAACUAUACAGUAUGAUAAAAAUAUAAGGUAGUUUCACUGGAAACAACAGAAGACUAGAAGCUGAUGUGACGUGGCAAUAUCAACCAGGAAUACCCAUCUCGAGUUCUGGAUAUGUGCUCUGAGAAGGUGCCCAUGUCACCGACCACACUGGAGGCCAAUGCAGAUACUGGGGGAAGGUUCCAUGGUAGCUAAGUGUGGACAAGCUAAUCACUGAAGUUCCCUGAUGCAGAGUUGAUAAUCUCUCUAGAGUUGGAUGAAAGACUGUGCUGCCUUGAAGCUCUGAGAGAUGCCAUGCCAAUUCAAGGCAGGGUCUUUAUUGUUGAAACUCUUGCGUAAUGACAUCUUUAUUCAGGUGAAAAUACAGGAUGAAUUUCAACUAUAUGAUAUUGUUUAUGUUCCUCAGACAUGUUAUUUGUCUUUACAAAGAUUGGUUUCAAUAAACUGUGUGACUGAUAUUAAAUAAACAUGGAAUUUUACACAUUCAUAAU
RNAcentral lists this long non-coding RNA (1195 nucleotides) under Homo sapiens (human). RNAcentral's name for it is "HSALNT0327910". Lineage: Eukaryota; Metazoa; Chordata; Mammalia; Primates; Hominidae. The record is from RNAcentral.